UUAAGCGACUAAGCGUACACGGUGGAUGCCUAGGCAGUCAGAGGCGAUGAAGGGCGUGCUAAUCUGCGAUAAGCGUCGGUAAGGUGAUAUGAACCGUUACAACCGACGAUACCCGAAUGGGGAAACCCAGUGCAAUUCGUUGCACUAUUGCAUGGUGAAUACAUAGCCAUGCAAGGCGAACCGGGGGAACUGAAACAUCUAAGUACCCCGAGGAAAAGAAAUCAACCGAGAUUCCCCCAGUAGCGGCGAGCGAACGGGGAAGAGCCCAGAGUCUGAAUCAGUUUGUGUGUUAGUGGAAGCGUCUGGAAAGUCGCACGGUACAGGGUGAUAGUCCCGUACACAAAAACACACUUGCUGUGAACUCGAUGAGUAGGGCGGGACACGUGACAUCCUGUCUGAAUAUGGGGGGACCAUCCUCCAAGGCUAAAUACUCCUGACUGACCGAUAGUGAACCAGUACCGUGAGGGAAAGGCGAAAAGAACCCCGGCGAGGGGAGUGAAAUAGAACCUGAAACCGUGUACGUACAAGCAGUGGGAGCACCUUCGUGGUGUGACUGCGUACCUUUUGUAUAAUGGGUCAGCGACUUAUAUUUUGUAGCAAGGUUAACCGAAUAGGGGAGCCGUAGGGAAACCGAGUCUUAACUGGGCGUCUAGUUGCAAGGUAUAGACCCGAAACCCGGUGAUCUAGCCAUGGGCAGGUUGAAGGUUGGGUAACACUAACUGGAGGACCGAACCGACUAAUGUUGAAAAAUUAGCGGAUGACUUGUGGCUGGGGGUGAAAGGCCAAUCAAACCGGGAGAUAGCUGGUUCUCCCCGAAAGCUAUUUAGGUAGCGCCUCGUGAACUCAUCUUCGGGGGUAGAGCACUGUUUCGGCUAGGGGGUCAUCCCGACUUACCAAACCGAUGCAAACUCCGAAUACCGAAGAAUGUUAUCACGGGAGACACACGGCGGGUGCUAACGUCCGUCGUGAAGAGGGAAACAACCCAGACCGCCAGCUAAGGUCCCAAAGUCAUGGUUAAGUGGGAAACGAUGUGGGAAGGCAUAGACAGCCAGGAUGUUGGCUUAGAAGCAGCCAUCAUUUAAAGAAAGCGUAAUAGCUCACUGGUCGAGUCGGCCUGCGCGGAAGAUGUAACGGGGCUAAACCAUGCACCGAAGCUGCGGCAGCGACACUUAGGUGUUGUUGGGUAGGGGAGCGUUCUGUAAGCCGUUGAAGGUGACCUGUGAGGGUUGCUGGAGGUAUCAGAAGUGCGAAUGCUGACAUAAGUAACGAUAAUGCGGGUGAAAAACCCGCACGCCGGAAGACCAAGGGUUCCUGUCCAACGUUAAUCGGGGCAGGGUGAGUCGACCCCUAAGGCGAGGCUGAAAAGCGUAGUCGAUGGGAAACAGGUUAAUAUUCCUGUACUUGGUGUUACUGCGAAGGGGGGACGGAGAAGGCUAGGCUAGCCGGGCGACGGUUGUCCCGGUUUAAGCAUGUAGGCGGAGCGACUUGGUAAAUCCGGUUGCUUAUCAACGCUGAGGUGUGAUGACGAUGCACUACGGUGCAGAAGUAGUUGAUGCCAUGCUUCCAGGAAAAGCCUCUAAGCAUCAGGUAACAUUAAAUCGUACCCCAAACCGACACAGGUGGUCAGGUAGAGAAUACUCAGGCGCUUGAGAGAACUCGGGUGAAGGAACUAGGCAAAAUGGUGCCGUAACUUCGGGAGAAGGCACGCUGGCAUUAGGUAAAGGGACUUGCUCCCGGCGCCGAAGCCAGUCGCAGAUACCAGCUGGCUGCAACUGUUUAAUAAAAACACAGCACUGUGCAAACACGAAAGUGGACGUAUACGGUGUGACGCCUGCCCGGUGCUGGAAGGUUAAUUGAUGGGGUCAGCCUUACGGCGAAGCUCUUGAUCGAAGCCCCAGUAAACGGCGGCCGUAACUAUAACGGUCCUAAGGUAGCGAAAUUCCUUGUCGGGUAAGUUCCGACCUGCACGAAUGGCGUAAUGAUGGCCAGGCUGUCUCCACCCGAGACUCAGUGAAAUUGAACUCGCUGUGAAGAUGCAGUGUACCCGCGGCAAGACGGAAAGACCCCGUGAACCUUUACUAUAGCUUGACACUGAACAUUGAGCCUUGAUGUGUAGGAUAGGUGGGAGGCAUUGAAGUGUGGACGCCAGUCUGCAUGGAGCCAACCUUGAAAUACCACCCUUUAAUGUUUGAUGUUCUAACUCGGCCCCGUGAUCCGGGGUGAGGACAGUGUCUGGUGGGUAGUUUGACUGGGGCGGUCUCCUCCCAAAGAGUAACGGAGGAGCACGAAGGUUAGCUAAUCACGGUCGGACAUCGUGAGGUUAGUGCAAAGGCAUAAGCUAGCUUGACUGCGAGAGUGACGGCUCGAGCAGGUACGAAAGUAGGUCUUAGUGAUCCGGUGGUUCUGAAUGGAAGGGCCAUCGCUCAACGGAUAAAAGGUACUCCGGGGAUAACAGGCUGAUACCGCCCAAGAGUUCAUAUCGACGGCGGUGUUUGGCACCUCGAUGUCGGCUCAUCACAUCCUGGGGCUGAAGUAGGUCCCAAGGGUAUGGCUGUUCGCCAUUUAAAGUGGUACGCGAGCUGGGUUUAGAACGUCGUGAGACAGUUCGGUCCCUAUCUGCCGUGGGCGUUGGAAGAUUGAGAGGGGCUGCUCCUAGUACGAGAGGACCGGAGUGGACGAAUCACUGGUGUUCGGGUUGUCAUGCCAAUGGCAUUGCCCGGUAGCUAAAUUCGGAAGAGAUAACCGCUGAAAGCAUCUAAGCGGGAAACUUGCCUCGAGAUGAGUCUUCCCUGGGGCUUUAAGCCCCCUGAAGGAACGUUAAAGACUAUGACGUUGAUAGGCUGGGUGUGUAAGUGCAGCGAUGCAUUGAGCUAACCAGUACUAAUGAUCCGUGAGGCUUAACCUU
Molecule: ribosomal RNA, 2905 nt
Filed under: Yersinia mollaretii
Lineage: Bacteria; Pseudomonadati; Pseudomonadota; Gammaproteobacteria; Enterobacterales; Yersiniaceae
Description: bacterial LSU rRNA
Rfam family: Bacterial large subunit ribosomal RNA
Source: RNAcentral